RNAcentral lists this ribosomal RNA (417 nucleotides) under uncultured bacterium. RNAcentral's name for it is "bacterial SSU rRNA". It matches the Rfam family "Bacterial small subunit ribosomal RNA", at positions 33 to 501 of the family's 1533-position model. The record is from RNAcentral.
GAUGACGCUGGCGGUCUGCUUAACACAUGCAAGUCGAACGACUCUUCGGAGUGAGUGGCGGACGGGUGAGUAACGCGUGAGAAUCUGCCUGUGGGUCGGGGACAACCACUGGAACGGUGGCUAAUACCGGAUGAGCCGAAAGGUAAGAUUUAUUGCCCACAGAUGAGCUCGCGUCUGAUUAGCUAGUUGGUAAGGUAAGCGUACCAAGGCGACGAUCAGUAGCUGGUCUGAGAGGAUGAGCAGCCACACUGGGACUGAGACACGGCCCAGACUCCUACGGGAGGCAGCAGUGGGAAUUUUCCGCAAUGGGCGAAAGCCUGACGGAGCAAGACCGCGUGGGGGAGAAGGUUUUUGGAUCGUAAACCCCUUUUGUCAAGGAGAAGCUCUGACGGUACUUGACGAUAAGCCUCGGCUAAC